This 238-nucleotide unclassified non-coding RNA is filed under the name Hevea brasiliensis (rubber tree). The record is from RNAcentral. Lineage: Eukaryota; Viridiplantae; Streptophyta; Magnoliopsida; Malpighiales; Euphorbiaceae.
ACUCACAAAUAUUGAUGUUCGAACAUAAUUAUGGCCGAACUAAAAUGGUGGAUGAUGCGAGUGAUCGCCUGCGAAGAUUGCCAAUUGCAACUCUAUGACCUUGGCCCCAGUAAAACCUGAACCUUGGGUCUUUGAGUCUUAGCAAACUCACUAACUUAUUUUACGUGCAGGUAUGGCUGGGGGCAAAUCCGUUAAGGAGAGUCACAAGCGGAAAAGGGAGCUCGCCCGAAAAGUGUUA